Pygocentrus nattereri (red-bellied piranha) is the source of this 313-nucleotide long non-coding RNA. RefSeq lists it as uncharacterized. The record is from RefSeq and is a predicted model, not a curated record. NCBI's taxonomy places the organism in Eukaryota, Metazoa, Chordata, Actinopteri, Characiformes, Serrasalmidae. The transcript has 3 exons.
GCACUUAGCGGGCACCCGCACCGGCGCCAGAAUGCAACUGCAAGACAAUUUAAGGUGGACCGGAAAAUUCAAAUAAGGAACUAGCGAACAGGAAGCAUCUUAAGCCUCGUGUAUCCGCGGUGAUGGGGAGGAACGUGAUUCUGUUCAGGGUUUUCGGGAGUCUAUCAGAGAUGCAGGGCCGAAGUGUGGUGUUCUACGUUUUCUACCUGUGGAGCUGCAUGGAGGUUUUCAGGAAAGUUUUUCUGCACUCUGAAUGACACACAGCCACAUAAAAUCCAACUCACAAUUGAUUCCCUGAAAUAUCAAACGUGCC